This 50-nucleotide small RNA is filed under the name Arabidopsis thaliana (thale cress). Its description in RNAcentral is "ATSL259510". The record is from RNAcentral. Lineage: Eukaryota; Viridiplantae; Streptophyta; Magnoliopsida; Brassicales; Brassicaceae.
AGCAGAGAAGAGAGUACUGAGAAGCUCUGCAUUGUCACUUGUCUCUGGUG